CCUACGGGUGACAGCAGUGAGGAAUAUUGGUCAAUGGACGGAAGUCUGAACCAGCCAUGCCGCGUGCAGGAUGACGGCUCUAUGAGUUGUAAACUGCUUUUGUAUUAGGGUAAACACCCCUACGUGUAGGGGCUUGAAAGUAUCGUACGAAUAAGGAUCGGCUAACUCCGUGCCAGCAGCCGCGGUAAUACGGAGGAUGCGAGCGUUAUCCGGAUUUAUUGGGUUUAAAGGGUGCGUAGGCGGAUUUUUAAGUCAGCGGUAAAAUGUCCGGGCUCAACCCGGGCCGGCCGUUGAAACUGGGGAUCUUGAGUGGGCGAGAAGUAUGCGGAAUGCGUGGUGUAGCGGUGAAAUGCAUAGAUAUCACGCAGAACUCCGAUUGCGAAGGCAGCAUACCGGCGCCCGACUGACGCUGAGGCACGAAAGCGUGGGGAUCGAACAGGAUUAGAUACCCUUGUAGUC
This 459-nucleotide ribosomal RNA is filed under the name uncultured bacterium. Its description in RNAcentral is "partial 16S ribosomal RNA". It matches the Rfam family "Bacterial small subunit ribosomal RNA", at positions 338 to 795 of the family's 1533-position model. The record is from RNAcentral.